CAAGUGUCAGCAGAGGUUGCAUUGGGGUGUUGGUGUUCAGGAGCCCGAGCCAGUCGGGGCUCACCAUGGUGGCAGCAGGCUUUAUGACUUGGUCUUUUCCUCUUUCCUUUUCCUCUCAGGUCAUGGCCACCCCGCUGCUGGCUAACUGCAGCUACUUCUGCCAGCCAGUGGACUACAGAUGGAGCAAGCAUGGAAUGAGGGCAUCUUCCUGGAGACAGGAAGGUAGGCAUUGUGGAAUCAGCGGUGCGUAGAACAGUGAGGAUUUGGGGCUGAACCCAGCCCAGGUGGGACAAGCCGUGGCACCAGCCGGACUGCAGUCUGAUGGAACUUCCCCUUCCUGCCCAGCAGAUGGCGAGCGUGUGCUGCUGGUGCCUCUUUCCAAAGGACGUUGAAUUGCUUGACAGGUAGUGUUCUUUACUUUAUGAAUGAAGCCGGAGCAGCCCACCUUCCUGCAUCUCUACCACCAUGGCACCAUGCCCUGUGAUGGGUGGGCUGGAGUCAAAUACGUAGCAGGCAGCCAGGGUCAGUUUGUGGCCACUGCUGCCCCCUCUUCCUACAGUCUCCUCACUGAGUGCCCCUUCCCUGUUGGGUUCAACACAUCUGUGCUCCUGUAAGCCCUCAGCCUCCUGGUUCUCUUCCUCAACUUCUACCACCAGACACAUCUGAGAAGCAAGCAAGAGAGGCUGAACUAGGAGCAGGACCCAGGGACUGAAACCAUCACAGCAUCCCCACAGAGAAUUGGGUGGAAGGCAGCGUGGCUUCCAGCUUACUGGUGCUGAGCAGAUUUCUCUGGGUCUCCACUGUAUCCUCUGAAGGAAGGAGGAGGAUUGCCUUCUGUCCAGAUCUCAGGAUCAAACAAAUAGGUCCAACUUCCUGUGCUCACUUCAGUUAGAGCACUUCUCAUGUGACUUUGUAGCUUUGUGUGCAUCUCCUUCCUCUACUAGACCUAAGCCCCUCACGGGAGGGACUCUCUUAUUCUUGAUGUUCCCCACACCUGGAAUUUCAAUAAACAUCUCAAUAAACGUGUGUGUUUGGAUCCUUGGAUCCCAUGACUGCUGUCAUAACCUUGGUGAAGAAGAGGGCUGGGAGUAGGAAAGAGGUCAAGGUUGGCUUGAUCUCUAACCCUAUAGUGGGAAAUUGUGACGGAGAAUAUUCAAGAGUCGGUGUGGGUCUGUUUGAUUUCAGGUGUAGCUGUGUAAAUAGUUAGCCCUGCAUAUAUUUUUGUCUACUCACAACUGCCUGCAUGUGUAUUCAUACAGUUGUGUGAUUCUGUGUAUGUGCAUGGGGAGUGGGAGAG
Molecule: long non-coding RNA, 1297 nt
Filed under: Pan troglodytes (chimpanzee)
Lineage: Eukaryota; Metazoa; Chordata; Mammalia; Primates; Hominidae
Description: long non-coding RNA NONPTRT003304
Source: RNAcentral